This 424-nucleotide ribosomal RNA is filed under the name uncultured Acaulosporaceae. RNAcentral describes it as "SSU rRNA". It matches the Rfam family "Eukaryotic small subunit ribosomal RNA", at positions 459 to 886 of the family's 1831-position model. Lineage: Eukaryota; Fungi; Glomeromycota; Glomeromycetes; Diversisporales; Acaulosporaceae. The record is from RNAcentral.
GGGAGGUAGUGACAAUAAAUAACAAUAUGGGGCUCUUACGGGUCUCGUAAUUGGAAUGAGUACAAUUUAAAUCUCUUAACGAGGAACAAUUGGAGGGCAAGUCUGGUGCCAGCAGCCGCGGUAAUUCCAGCUCCAAUAGCGUAUAUUAAAGUUGUUGCAGUUAAAAAGCUCGUAGUUGAAUUUCGGGGACUGUCCAUUGGUCGGGCUUCACGGUCCGUACUGGUGAGAUGGGUUCCUACCUUCUGAAUAACCAGCAUGCCAUUUAGUUGGUGCGCCGGGGAAGCAGAGCUAUUACCUUGAAAAAUUAGAGUGCUUAAAGCAGGCUAGUGCUUGAAUAGAUUAGCAUGGAAUAAUAAAAUAGGACGGCAUGGUUCUAUUUUGUUGGUUUCUAGGAUCACCGUAAUGAUUAAUAGGGAUAGUUGGG